GGUGGGCAGGGUUCCCGAGAGCGGCCAAAGGGGAGCAGACUGUAAAUCUGCCGUCAUCGACUUCGAAGGGUUCGAAUCCUUCCCCACCACCA
Molecule: transfer RNA, 92 nt
Filed under: Salmonella enterica subsp. enterica
Lineage: Bacteria; Pseudomonadati; Pseudomonadota; Gammaproteobacteria; Enterobacterales; Enterobacteriaceae
Description: tRNA-Tyr
Rfam family: tRNA
About the family: Transfer RNA (tRNA) molecules are approximately 80 nucleotides in length. Their secondary structure includes four short double-helical elements and three loops (D, anti-codon, and T loops).
Source: RNAcentral